AAUGAACGCUGGCGGCAGGCCUAACACAUGCAAGUCGAGCGAAGUCUUCGGACUUAGCGGCGGACGGGUGAGUAACGCGUGGGAACAUGCCCUUUGGUGCGGAAUAGCCCCGGGAAACUGGGAGUAAUACCGCAUGUGCCCUUCGGGGGAAAGAUUUAUCGCCAAAGGAUUGGCCCGCGUUGGAUUAGGUAGUUGGUGGGGUAAUGGCCUACCAAGCCGACGAUCCAUAGCUGGUUUGAGAGGAUGAUCAGCCACACUGGGACUGAGACACGGCCCAGAAUCCUACGGGAGGCAGCAGUGGGGAAUCUUAGACAAUGGGCGCAAGCCUGAUCUAGCCAUGCCGCGUGAUCGAUGAAGGCCUUAGGGUUGUAAAGAUCUUUCAGUGGGGAAGAUAAUGACGGUACCCACAGAAGAAGCCCCGGCUAACUCCGUG
This 433-nucleotide ribosomal RNA is filed under the name uncultured bacterium. RNAcentral's name for it is "partial 16S ribosomal RNA". It matches the Rfam family "Bacterial small subunit ribosomal RNA", at positions 29 to 507 of the family's 1533-position model. The record is from RNAcentral.